Molecule: long non-coding RNA, 735 nt
Organism: Meriones unguiculatus (Mongolian gerbil)
Lineage: Eukaryota; Metazoa; Chordata; Mammalia; Rodentia; Muridae
Exons: 2
Source: RefSeq, a predicted model, not a curated record
UUCCGGCUGUGGAGAGAAGUGGACAGAAUGACACUAGACACUCGGGUGGCCGGGACGGCGCUGCCUCUUCUCCCUGAGCGACUGGGGCUAGUUACUCAACCUGUGUCUCAGCGCCUUCUGAGGAGAGUCUCUUGGUGACCCUGGAGUCCCGGUUUGGCGAGGCCGGCGGUGAACCCCUUCUCUGGCCACUGUUUGGGCUGGGCUCUGAGCUCAGCGGAGCCGCUUCCCCAGGCCCCUUUUCUUCACAAACAGCAGCAGCAGCAGCAGCAGCUGGAGGCCGGCUCUCAGUAAGCUGCCCUCGCUGUUCUAAACCCGUGAUCCUCCUGCUCCCACCUCCCGUGCUGGGAUAACAGGCCACAGCCCACACCUGGUCUACAACAUGCUGGAGCCCGGCGCUCCGUAUGAACUAACUGAGCGCUCUGCCCCUUCGGCCUGACACCGCGACAACACUUAAGGUGGUUGGUGGUGUGUCUGAGCCCAGGUCAACGGCAGGGAGGUCUGAAGGCCAGAGGCGGCAGAGGCUCCCCGAGGACUCACCACGACCUUCAGUGUCUUCUUGACACCAUCGCUGAUGAAGUGCUUGAAGACGGCAGCCUUGACCUCCACCUCCUGGAGGCCGAUCUUCAAGGGCACGAUGACAUAAGGCACAGCCACAGAAGACUUGGGAGGGAUCCAGAUGGUCUGCUGAUAGUUCUUCUUGGCGGUGGCCAUGCUGCAGAAGGCUGGGUUGUGCAA